Molecule: ribosomal RNA, 497 nt
Filed under: uncultured bacterium
Lineage: Bacteria
Description: partial 16S ribosomal RNA
Rfam family: Bacterial small subunit ribosomal RNA
Source: RNAcentral
GAUGAACGCUGGCGGUGUGCCUAAUACAUGCAAGUCGAGCGAACGGACGAGAAGCUUGCUUCUCUGAUGUUAGCGGCGGACGGGUGAGUAACACGUGGAUAACCAACUUCUAAGACUGGGAUAAUUUCGGGAAACCGGAUCUAAUAACGCAUAAUAUUAUGAACCGCAUGGUUCAAAAGUGAUUGACGGUCUUGCCGUCACUUAUAGCUGGAUCCGCGCUGCAUUAGCUAGUUGGUAAGGUAACGGCUUACCAAGGCAACGAUGCAUAGCCGACCUGAGAGGGUGAUCGGCCACACUGGAACUGAGACACGGUCCAGACUCCUACGGGAGGCAGCAGUAGGGAAUCUUCCGCAAUGGGCGAAAGCCUGACGGAGCAACACCGCGUGAGUGAUGAAGGUCUUCGGAUCGUAAAACUCUGUUAUUAGGAAAGAACAUAUGUAGAAGUAACUGUGCACAUCUUGACGGUACCUAAACAGAAAGCCACGGCUAACUACGUG